Molecule: ribosomal RNA, 1379 nt
Filed under: metagenome
Description: bacterial SSU rRNA
Rfam family: Bacterial small subunit ribosomal RNA
Source: RNAcentral
AGCAGGGCGUCAGUGGCGAACGGGUUAGUAACACGUAGCUUACCAACCCCGAAGUGGGGCAUAGCUGAUCGAAAGAUCAGGUAAUUCCCCAUAGUCCCCGAGAGCAAUCGAGGGGUAAAGCCGAAAGGCGCUUCGGGAUGGGUCUGCGGCCUAUCAGCUAGUUGGUAGGGUAACGGCCUACCAAGGCUAUGACGGGUAGGGGAAGUGAGAGCUUGUUCCCCAACAAUGGCACUGAGACAUGGGCUAUACUCCUACGGGAGGCAGCAGUCGAGAAUAUUGGUCAAUGGGGGAAACCCUGAACCAGCGACGCCGCGUGUUUGAAGAAGCCCUUCGGGGUGUAAAAAACUUUUCUGGAGGAGAAACCUUCGGGUGAUAGUACUCCAGGAAUAAGGGGGUGCAAAUUCUGUGCCAGCAGCCGCGGUAAUACAGAACCCCCAAGCGUUAUCCGGAUUUAUUGGGCGUGAAGGGUCCGUAGGCGGCCCGCCAAGUUUUCCGUUAAAUUUCCAGGGCUCAACCUUGGAACGGCGGAAAAAACUGGCGGGAUAGAGGACGUCAGAGGCUGAUGGAACGCUCGGUGUAGUGGUGAAAUCCGUUGAUAUCGAGCGGAACACCAAAAGCGAAGGCAUUCAGCUGGGGCGAUCCUGACGCUGAGGGACGAAAGCGUGGGGAGCAAAAAGGAUUAGAUACCCUUGUAGUCCACGCCCUAAACGAUGGACACUGGCUGCCUGUAGUGUCGACCCUACAGGUGGCGAAGCUUACGCGUUAAGUGUCCCGCCUGGGAAGUACGGCCGCAAGGCUAAAACUCAAAGGAAUAGACGGGGGCUCACACAAGCGGUGGACCAUGUGGCUUAAUUCGACGAUAAACGAGGAACCUUACCAGGGCUUGACAAGCUAACGAAACCCUUCCGAAAGGUUGGGCUACCCACAAGGACGUUAGCCCAGGUGCUGCAUGGUUGUCGUCAGCAGGUGUCAUGAGACGCUCCCUUAAAUGGGGAAACCUGCGCAACCCUUGCCCUAUGUUUUAUCUGUCAUAGGGGACUGCCGUAGACAGUACGGAGGAAGGCGAGGAUGACGCCAAAUCAGCAUGGCCCUUUGAUGCUCUGGGCUGCACACGUGGUACAAUGGGACCGACAAUGGGUUGCAAAGUCGAAAGGCGAAGCUAAUCCCAUCAAACGGUCUCUCAGUUCGGAUUGAGGUCUGCAACUCGACCUCAUGAAGCUGGGAUCGCUAGUAAUCGCCAAUCAGCUAUGUGGCGAUGAAUACGUUCCUGAGCCUUGUACUCACCGCCCGUCACGCCAAGCGAGCUGGGAACAGCCGAAGUGCCCCUUUUUGGGGAACUACGCUGGGUUCAGUAAGAGAGGCGAAGUCGUAACAAGGCA